Small nuclear RNA from Medicago truncatula (barrel medic), 190 nucleotides. It matches the Rfam family "U2 spliceosomal RNA". Rfam says of the family: U2 is a small nuclear RNA (snRNA) component of the spliceosome (involved in pre-mRNA splicing). Complementary binding between U2 snRNA (in an area lying towards the 5' end but 3' to hairpin I) and the branchpoint sequence (BPS) of the intron results the bulging out of an unpaired adenosine, on the BPS, which initiates a nucleophilic attack at the intronic 5' splice site, thus starting the first of two transesterification reactions that mediate splicing. The record is from Rfam. Lineage: Eukaryota; Viridiplantae; Streptophyta; Magnoliopsida; Fabales; Fabaceae.
AUACCUUUUUCGACUGCUUGGCUAAGAUCAAGUGUAUUCAUAUCAUUUUAAUAUAUAAUAUGUGGUCCAAUGAAUCACACAUGAUAUUAAAUUACUUUUUUGAGGGGGAGAGACCAUUUCAGUAGCUUGCUAUUGGUUUCCUCAUUUGUCGCCUAUGCAUUGCACUAUUGCAUGGGCCGGCGCACCAAAA